AUCGGAAUUACUGGGCGUAAAGCGUGCGUAGGCGGUUAAUUAAGUCAGAUGUGAAAGCCCCGGGCUUAACCUGGGAACUGCAUUUGAUACUGGUUAACUAGAGUUUAGUAGAGGGGAGUGGAAUUUCAGGUGUAGCGGUGAAAUGCGUAGAUAUCUGAAGGAACACCAGUGGCGAAGGCGACUCCCUGGACUAAAACUGACGCUGAGGUACGAAAGCGUGGGUAGCAAACAGGAUUAGAUACCCUGGUAGUCCACGCCGUAAACGAUGUCAACUAGCCGUUGGUCCUAUUUACAGGAUUAGUGGCGCAGCUAACGCAUUAAGUUGACCGCCUGGGGAGUACGGCCGCAAGGUUAAAACUCAAAUGAAUUGACGGGGGCCCGCACAAGCGGUGGAGCAUGUGGUUUAAUUCGAUGCAACGCGAAGAACCUUACCUACCCUUGACAUCCAUAGAAUC
Molecule: ribosomal RNA, 455 nt
Filed under: uncultured Gammaproteobacteria bacterium
Lineage: Bacteria; Pseudomonadati; Pseudomonadota; Gammaproteobacteria
Description: bacterial SSU rRNA
Rfam family: Bacterial small subunit ribosomal RNA
Source: RNAcentral